AAAAUCUCGAAAGAAAAAUGGCAACGCUGAUUUGUCAAUCUCUUUUAUUGGGACUUUUAUGCAUUGCGUUGGUUUUGGCUUCAGCAGGAGCAACACCAGAUUUGAAGGAUCCUACUAGGGCUUCUGCAUGCACUAGCACACCUGGAUGCGCAAAGUAUUACUUCAAAGAUCCAGAAUGUAUGAGAAGCUAAAAUAAAAAAGAAAUUAUGCAAGUGAAGAGUGUUAGUAAGAGUUGUUUCAAAUAAAAAUAAUAUGUACCUGAGUAAAAAAUUACUGAUAUUCAACAAUCAUCAACAUAUGAGCAAUAUAUUGAUAAGUCUUUAUUCUUCA
Long non-coding RNA from Vicia villosa (hairy vetch), 330 nucleotides. RefSeq lists it as uncharacterized. The transcript has 2 exons. The record is from RefSeq and is a predicted model, not a curated record. NCBI's taxonomy places the organism in Eukaryota, Viridiplantae, Streptophyta, Magnoliopsida, Fabales, Fabaceae.